RNAcentral lists this long non-coding RNA (1178 nucleotides) under Cricetulus griseus (Chinese hamster). RNAcentral's name for it is "lncRNA (ENSCGRG00015029600.1)". The record is from RNAcentral. Lineage: Eukaryota; Metazoa; Chordata; Mammalia; Rodentia; Cricetidae.
GUUAGGCUGUGCUUUGGGCCAUUUCAUUCAUUGCUAUCUAUAGUGUAGUGAGAUUGUCAGUUAUCUGAAGAGGUACUAUUACCCCCAGACAGGGUCUCACUACUUCCCUGGAUAACCUGGAACUAACUUUGUAGGCCAGGUUGGCCUGGAACUCAAUGGAGAUAAUAAUUCCUUUGUGUCUGUCUCUCAAGUGCUGGAACUAAAGGUGUGCUCCACCACACCUGAUAGAAGAUCAGAAGGGGUCAGAUAAACUGGAGACAUCAGUUGGUCCUCCCAAUUCUGCUCUGAAAUACUGACGUGCAAUUUAAGAGCAUGAUUAGACCUUCAACCCAACUACCUGAAUAUCGACCUUGAAAAUUGUAUUAGCCUGAAGAUGCAGCAAAUAGCACCAGCAUUAAGCUAUCAGGCUAUUGAAAGAAUGGACCAGAAGAAAUUAGAAUUUCUCAUGGAACACUGCUGGAAGAGGAAGCAUCUGGGUAUCCAGAGGAGGAACUUGUGCCCAGGAGAAAGUUGCAACUUCUCAGUCCUCAGAAACAAGGCUUGAGUACAGAGCUAACGUUAUCACCAAAUCGCUAGAAGGAAGUCUUCUGAUGACUAGCCACGGUGGAAUGGAGCCAGUUGGUACUCCAAUCAUCAUUGCUACUUCUGGAUAGAUCUAAGGCCAGAAACUUUGUACAACAGAUAAACCGUGUCUGGAAAAAAAAGGAAGGAAGGAAGGAAGGAAGGAAGGAAGGAAAGCAGACUGGCCAAGUCCUGUGAAACAAGCCAGUAAGCAGCAUUCUUCAUGGCCUCUGCAUCAGCUCCUGCCACCAGGAUCCUGCCCUGUUUGAGUUCCUGUCCUGACUUUCUUCAGUGAUGAACAGCAAUGUGAAAGCAUCCUGGGUAUGAAAUUCAGGUCAUUAGGCUUGGUGGCAAGUACCUUUACUUGUGGAGCAGUCUCGUUUCCUAAAUGUUUUCUGCAAUCUUCGAACAGUUCUGGAUCCAGAUAGGCUCCUCCUCGUCCUCCUGCUCCUGUGCCCUGGGACCAUGCCUCUUCUACCAUAUGGACUCUCCCUAUGGAACAGUAAGCCAAAUAAACCCUUUCUCCCAGAAGUUGUCAUGGGUCAUGUUAUUUUGUCAUUGCCACAGAAAAUAACUAAUAUGCAUGGUUUCUAGAGAUUGAACUCAGGUUGCCUGGC